This 77-nucleotide transfer RNA is filed under the name Candidatus Aminicenantota bacterium. RNAcentral describes it as "Candidatus Aminicenantes bacterium tRNA-Arg". It matches the Rfam family "tRNA". From Rfam's summary of the family: Transfer RNA (tRNA) molecules are approximately 80 nucleotides in length. Their secondary structure includes four short double-helical elements and three loops (D, anti-codon, and T loops). Further hydrogen bonds mediate the characteristic L-shaped molecular structure. tRNAs have two regions of fundamental functional importance: the anti-codon, which is responsible for specific mRNA codon recognition, and the 3' end, to which the tRNAs corresponding amino acid is attached (by aminoacyl-tRNA synthetases). tRNAs cope with the degeneracy of the genetic code in two manners: having more than one tRNA (with a specific anti-codon) for a particular amino acid; and 'wobble' base-pairing, i.e. permitting non-standard base-pairing at the 3rd anti-codon position. RNAcentral also lists the same sequence under 1 other name. The record is from RNAcentral. Lineage: Bacteria; Candidatus Aminicenantota.
GCGCCCGUAGCUCAGCUGGAUAGAGCGUCUGACUACGAAUCAGAAGGUCGCAGGUUCGAGUCCUGUCGGGCGUACCA